UCAGAGAUACCCCUAUAGGCACCUAGGGCAGAGGACCAUAAAGAAGCAAUAGAAAAAAGAUCCUAUCUUGCAAGAAAGCCAAAGAUACAUAGUUAUCUGUAAAAAGUUGAGCAUUAAUCUUAGCCUAGAACCCCCAAAAUAACACACAAAAUACUAGCGAUUGAGCAUAAUAGCAAAACACAAGUCUAAUAUGUAGCACCUGUCAUGUAUUUUAGUAAUUGCAAGCUAACGUGGCCGAGGAUAAUUACCAUAUAUCUUUGAGAGAAUUAAUAAGAGGAUAAUUUCAAAAAAUGAGUACAUGAGUAUAUAUUUUC
This 314-nucleotide long non-coding RNA is filed under the name Panax ginseng (ginseng). RNAcentral's name for it is "long non-coding RNA (PGIN_LNC018418)". The record is from RNAcentral. Lineage: Eukaryota; Viridiplantae; Streptophyta; Magnoliopsida; Apiales; Araliaceae.